GAAAUAUGUAUUUCACAAAUAUAUUACACAUUAAUAUUUGACUAGUGUUCUCACAACACAUUCUGUCAGCAUAGUCUGUCUGUGUCUUUUCUCUGCACAUUUUAACUGAAAUAACGGGGUAGGGACUUUGUAUAUUGCAACUGUGUAACUCACCUGGGACAAUCAUGUAGUGUUUGCAAGGAACACCAGGAGCCAAUACAGGUAAUUGAUAAGCACAGCUGGAGAGCAUUGCUAGUUAUAUACAGUCUAUAUAAGCUUGGUGAGUAAAGCAAACCUUUGGGGGUUUAUGAGGAGAUAGUAGUUAGACAGUGAAUUUACAGUGGUUAGAAAGCAAUUAUAGCCAGGGCGAUUGAGAAGAGCUUGUGAGAGUGAGUGGAUUUUAGAAAGUGAGUGACUGAGGUGUGUCAGUUGGUUUGCUUCGUGUGUUUUUGAGUCUGUGUGUUUGUGGUACAGUGGAGUAGGUAAGUUAUCAGGUGUGAUAGAUAAAUGGACAGGUGUAGGUGGGGGAAAUGGAGCCCAAAAUUGUGAGGGAGCAUCUGGAGUUCAAACUCCACAAUCGCUAUCCUGAAGGAUCAAGAAGCAGAGAAAGACUUACAAUCAAGAGAAGAGCUGAGACCUUCAGGAUAAAUGAUGGAGACCUGUAUUAUAUAUGCAGGAAGAAGAAAAAUAAAACUGAGCACUUGGAGAAAGUGGUCUGCUCUGCCAAAGAGGCAAGUGAAAUGUUUGAGGAAUUUCAUUACAGCCACUUUGGUGGGCACUGUGGGUGGAAGAAGACUCGGGCUAUCAUGGCACACUAUUACUGGGCUGGCAUGGAGGCGGACAUUCAAAAAUGUUGCCCUUUCAGCUUGUUGGGAUGGAUCUUGUGGGUAAACUAACCUUAACAAAUGGUAGUAAUCAAUAUAUUUGUGUCAUGGUUGAUUAUUUCACCAAAUGGACAGAGGCCUACCCACUAAAAAGUAAAACAGCAGAUGAGGUCACCAGUGUAUUCUUGAUUUCUUUUACAGACUGCUAACAGACCAGGGCUCAGAGUUUUUCCACAAGGUCAACUAUGGCCUGUGUGAAACUCUGGGCAUCAAAAGAAGCCUCUGCUCACCAUGUCAUCCACAAACAAAUGGCCUUGUGGAAAAAUUAAAUGGCACAAUCCAGAGCCAAAGAGCUGGGACAAAUUUCUGCAGUGGACUAUGUUCGGACUCAGAACAAAAAAGCAGAUUACAGAAGAAAGGGUCUGUACCAUCAAUUCCAAUUAAGUUUGUGAGGGCCUAAAAUCCCAGGAGGUGGUGUACGCUGAAGUGACCAAAAAUGCCAAAAGCAGCCAAGAAAAGAUCCGCAGGAGAAAAGCAAAAAGGGGAGAGGAGGAUUGUUUUCAGGCGGGAGACCUUGGUUUGUGGAAAAAUAUAAGGCAAGAGCAGAGGAAAGGUGGCAAACUGGAUUUGGAUAUGCUGGGACCCUUUAAAAUUAUGAAGCCGGAAGGCAGAAAUGAUCACUUGGUGUUAGAGAAGGGAAAGAGGACUCUCAAGAUUAACACAGACCAAUUGACACACUACUUCCAGCCUAAAGAAGAGGGUCCAAGCAAAACUGAAGGAUUGUUUGCUGCUUGUGAGGGGCCAUCAGCACCACCAGUGUCACCACCUUCCUGUUAGGGGAAAUCACUGGUGCAGUCUUGCUGUGACCCAGAAAAUGAGGAGUAAGCAGACAGUGAACAACUAAGACUUUUGAAUAAUGAUAUCCUCACAGUAAUAAGAACAAUUUGGGCUGGAGAAAAAAACAAAGGUGCUGAGGUCAAAGAUUGGGCCAUAUAAGUUAUUUUCUGAAAAUGUUGACUUGGCCCCUGGGAAAGAGUUGGAAAGUGAGGUAUGUAAACUUUUUCCAAAUUAGUGGUCACCUUAUUGGAAGGGAUUGAGGGUGUAAUGUUUGCGCCUAUUUGACGAUGGUGGGGCGAAGAAAUGCUGCAUUAAUUAUGGACUCAUAUUUAAUGAGUUAAUCAGUUUGGCAGGGGUCCACAAAAGGUCUCAGAAAGAUGAGUUGGCUUUGAAACUUAAACUUUAUAAUUUAACACUAUUCAUAAUUUAAUUUCAAGAUCUUCACUUUGUAGCUGGAUCUGCUAAAGUAUGAUGUGGCAGUUGGGGCAGCCUGCGACAACAGACACUGGACACUCAUUAUGACCUUUCCCAGCUAUGCCGUGCAUGUGGUGAGAGAAGCUCUGGUGCAGAAACCGAUGAAUGGGUAAGAUAACCAAAUCAAUACCUAAGAUGGAAGCACCUUGAAUGGGUUACUUUAACAUCACUGGGUGAAAUGUCACUUUGAUGCACUAACAGAAAACUUAUAGUUCAGGUAACCUGCAUGCCUUUGCACUUUAAAGACAGUGGAAAACAUCGAGCGAUCCAC
Long non-coding RNA from Oreochromis niloticus (Nile tilapia), 2385 nucleotides. RefSeq lists it as uncharacterized. The record is from RefSeq and is a predicted model, not a curated record. Lineage: Eukaryota; Metazoa; Chordata; Actinopteri; Cichliformes; Cichlidae. The transcript has 7 exons.